Molecule: transfer RNA, 75 nt
Filed under: Chitinophagaceae bacterium
Lineage: Bacteria; Pseudomonadati; Bacteroidota; Chitinophagia; Chitinophagales; Chitinophagaceae
Description: tRNA-Asn
Rfam family: tRNA
About the family: Transfer RNA (tRNA) molecules are approximately 80 nucleotides in length.
Source: RNAcentral
GGAUGAAUAGCUCAAUGGCCGAGCAGUCGCCUGUUAAGCAACAAGAUGAAAGUUCGAAUCUUUCUUCAUCCGCCA